GAUGAACGCUGGCGGCGUGCUUAACACAUGCAAGUCGAGCGAGAAGUUUUGAAAAGAUUCUUCGGAUGAAAUUUAAAAUGGAAAGCGGCGGACGGGUGAGUAACGCGUAGGCAACCUGCCCCAUACAAAGGGAUAGCAUUUGGAAACGAAUAUUAAUACCUUAUGAAACUUAACUAGUGCAUGCUAGGUAGGUCAAAGAUUUAUCGGUAUGGGAUGGGCCUGCGUCUGAUUAGCUAGUUGGUGAGGUAACGGCUCACCAAGGCGACGAUCAGUAGCCGACCUGGGAGGGUGAACGGCCACAUUGGAACUGAGACACGGUCCAAACUCCUACGGGAGACAGCAGUGGGGAAUAUUGCACAAUGGGGGAAACCCUGAUGCAGCAACGCCGCGUGAACGAUGAAGGCCUUUGGGUCGUAAAGUUCUGUUCUAGGUGAUGAAAACUGACAGUAACCUAGGAGAAAGCCCCGGCUAACUCCGUG
This 479-nucleotide ribosomal RNA is filed under the name uncultured bacterium. Its description in RNAcentral is "partial 16S ribosomal RNA". It matches the Rfam family "Bacterial small subunit ribosomal RNA", at positions 28 to 507 of the family's 1533-position model. The record is from RNAcentral.